AGAACCUUUUCUCUCCGAGUCCCGAGUUAUGUUUCGACCUGCUCAGGAUGAUUUGAUGGGGUUGUAGUAUGUCGGGAGGCUGUUGCAAAAGAUAAGGAAAAGGGAGAUGGAAGGCGCUUGUUUGAGUGAGAGCAGUAGUGACAUCUGCUGCAAGGAUGCCAGCUGGCAGUGGUUCCCUGGGAAAGUACACAAGUUCCUAUGAAAAUACAAUGGCCCAGUCGUCCAGCAUUGGAGAUUAUGCCAACAAGACUUUACCUCUCAGUAACAAAACAGACCAGAAGAUACAAUAGCGGAGCUAUAUUCUGUUCUCUAUCUUGUUGGAAGCCCAGAGAGUUGUUGUCAAAGCAAAGGUGGAUUGCAGUUGAUGGAUAUGAAAGGAACCCAGGAAAUGAGUGUAAUGGAGAAAUCAAAUGGUGGGAGAGAAAUGGCUGCAGUGGAGGCUGGCUAAUGACUGGAAGAAAGGAAGUGUGGUUUUCCCUGCAACGCUUUCAAAUACCUCCAGCCAUACUUACAACAGGUCAGCUGAAUUCACCUCCACAGUAAUGGAAGGCAAAGCAAAGUGGCUUUUGUACAAUUUGAGGUUGUAGUCAUAUGAGAGUUAAUUCUCACAUACUCAGCAGAAAACAACCUGCCUGUUGCCAGAACAGGAGAUGGAUGGAAAUUGGGCCUCCCAUCCAGAAGAGAGGGCUAUCUUACCCAUUGCAUAGCUUGAGCAGGCAAACAUGUGAAUGUAGAUCUCUAUAAAUAAAGCUAUAUCUGA
Python bivittatus (Burmese python) is the source of this 760-nucleotide non-coding RNA. Lineage: Eukaryota; Metazoa; Chordata; Lepidosauria; Squamata; Pythonidae. The record is from RefSeq and is a predicted model, not a curated record.